CAAGGAAUUUUCCGCAAUGGGGGCAACCCUGACGGAGCAACGCCGCGUGCGGGAUGACGCCUUUUGGGGUGUAAACCGCUUUUGCCGAGGAGGAGAAUGGACAGUACUCGGCGAAUAAGGACCGGCUAACUACGUGCCAGCAGCCGCGGUAAUACGUAGGGUCCAAGCGUUGUCCGGAGUUACUGGGCGUAAAGCGCGCGCAGGCGGCUUUUCAAGCCUCACGUGAAAGCCCCGGGGGCUUAACCCGGGGGAGGUCGUGGGGAACUGGAAAGCUUGAGGCCGGUAGAGGUGGGUGGAAUUCCUGGUGGAGUGGUGAAAUGCGUAGAGAUCAGGAAGAACACCGGUGGCGAAGGCGGCCCACUGGGCCGGAACUGACGCUGAGGCGCGAAGGCGUGGGGAGCGAACAGGAUUAGAUACCCUGGUAGUCCACGCAGUAAACGAUGUCGACUCGGUGUGGGCGGUCUUGACCCCGUCCGUGCCACAGCUAACGCGCAAAGUCGACCGCCUGGGGAGUACGGCCGCAAGGCUAAAACUCAAAGGAAUUGACGG
RNAcentral lists this ribosomal RNA (549 nucleotides) under uncultured bacterium. RNAcentral's name for it is "bacterial SSU rRNA". It matches the Rfam family "Bacterial small subunit ribosomal RNA", at positions 355 to 916 of the family's 1533-position model. The record is from RNAcentral.